GGCAGCUGAACCAUCGUCACUAGCCUUCCAUUCCAUCGUUGCCUGGAAAAGAACUACAACUAGUUACACGGGAAAAACAGACCAACAACUCUCAAACCCAAGAAACCACCUUCCAGAGAGCCUUUAGUAGACGAGAAACAACCAAAUCCGGCAAUCAGCAAGGAUAGUCAACGGGCAGAGUUCAUAUGGCUUAUGCGCCUUAAAGGAUCAGGUGGCUAACCGAGCGAGCCGGUUAUAGGACCCUUUAACAUUUUUGUCCUUACAAC
This 266-nucleotide unclassified non-coding RNA is filed under the name Hevea brasiliensis (rubber tree). The record is from RNAcentral. Lineage: Eukaryota; Viridiplantae; Streptophyta; Magnoliopsida; Malpighiales; Euphorbiaceae.